GAUCAACGCUGGCGGCGUGCAUAACACAUGCAAGUCGAACGAUGAAGAUUAAACGAUUUCUUCGGAAUGAACUUAAUUGGAUUAGUGGCGGACGGGUGAGUAACGCGUGAGUAACCUGCCUUGUACAAGGGGAUAGCCGUUGGAAACGACGAAUAAUACCCUAUGACAUCAAAUAAUCGCAUGAUAAUUUGAUCAAAGAUUUAUCGGUAUAAGAUGGACUCGCGUCUGAUUAGCUAGUUGGUAGAGUAAAAGCCUACCAAGGCAACGAUCAGUAGCCGGCUUGAGAGAGGGUACGGGCACAUUGGGACUGGGACAAGGCCCAGACUCCUCCAGGAGGCAGCAGUGGGGAAAUUUGCACAAUGGGGGAAACCCUGAUGCAGCGACGCCGCGUGAUUUAGAAGGCCUUCGGGUUGUAAAAAUCUUUUGUAUGGGAAGAAAAUGACAGUACCAUACGAAUAAGGACCGGCUAAUUACGUG
RNAcentral lists this ribosomal RNA (477 nucleotides) under uncultured bacterium. RNAcentral's name for it is "partial 16S ribosomal RNA". It matches the Rfam family "Bacterial small subunit ribosomal RNA", at positions 28 to 507 of the family's 1533-position model. The record is from RNAcentral.